UACGUAGGGGGCGAGCGUUGUCCGGAAUUACUGGGCGUAAAGGGUGCGUAGGCGGUUUGGUAAGUUGGAUGUGAAAUACCCGGGCUUAACUUGGGGGGUGCAUCCAAUACUGCCGGACUUGAGUGCAGGAGAGGAAAGCGGAAUUCCUAGUGUAGCGGUGAAAUGCGUAGAUAUUAGGAGGAACACCGGUGGCGAAGGCGGCUUUCUGGACUGUAACUGACGCUGAGGCACGAAAGCGUGGGGAGCAA
This 248-nucleotide ribosomal RNA is filed under the name uncultured Christensenellaceae bacterium. Its description in RNAcentral is "partial 16S ribosomal RNA". It matches the Rfam family "Bacterial small subunit ribosomal RNA", at positions 524 to 771 of the family's 1533-position model. Lineage: Bacteria; Bacillati; Bacillota; Clostridia; Christensenellales; Christensenellaceae. The record is from RNAcentral.